This 497-nucleotide ribosomal RNA is filed under the name uncultured bacterium. Its description in RNAcentral is "partial 16S ribosomal RNA". It matches the Rfam family "Bacterial small subunit ribosomal RNA", at positions 28 to 507 of the family's 1533-position model. The record is from RNAcentral.
GAUGAACGCUGGCGGCGUGCCUAAUACAUGCAAGUCGAGCGAACAGACGAGGAGCUUGCUCCUCUGACGUUAGCGGCGGACGGGUAAGUAACACGUGGAUAACCUACCUAUAAGACUGGGAUAACUUCGGGAAACCGGAGCUAAUACCGGAUAAUAUAUUGAACCGCAUGGUUCAAUAGUGAAAGACGGUUUUGCUGUCACUUAUAGAUGGAUCCGCGCCGCAUUAGCUAGUUGGUAAGGUAACGGCUUACCAAGGCAACGAUGCGUAGCCGACCUGGGAGGGUGAUGGGCCACACUGGAACUGAGACACGGUCCAGCCUCCUCCGGGAGGCAGCGGUAGGGAAUCUUCCGCAUAGGGCGAAAGCCUGACGGAGCAACGCCGCGUGAGUGAUGAAGGUCUUCGGAUCGUAAAACUCUGUUAUUAGGGAAGAACAAAUGUGUAAGUAACUAUGCACGUCUUGACGGUACCUAAUCAGAAAGCCACGGCUAACUACGUG